AACGAACGCUGGCGGCAUGCCUAACACAUGCAAGUCGAACGAACCCUUCGGGGUUAGUGGCGCACGGGUGCGUAACGCGUGGGAAUCUGCCCUUUGCUUCGGAAUAACAGUUAGAAAUGACUGCUAAUACCGGAUGAUGUCUUCGGACCAAAGAUUUAUCGGCAAAGGAUGAGCCCGCGUAGGAUUAGGUAGUUGGUGGGGUAAAGGCCUACCAAGCCGACGAUCCUUAGCUGGUCUGAGAGGAUGAUCAGCCACACUGGGACUGAGACACGGCCCAGACUCCUACGGGAGGCAGCAGUGGGGAAUAUUGGACAAUGGGCGCAAGCCUGAUCCAGCAAUGCCGCGUGAGUGAUGAAGGCCUUCGGGUCGUAAAGCUCUUUUACCAGGGAUGAUAAUGACAGUACCUGG
RNAcentral lists this ribosomal RNA (408 nucleotides) under Sphingomonas sp. oral taxon A66. RNAcentral describes it as "bacterial SSU rRNA". It matches the Rfam family "Bacterial small subunit ribosomal RNA", at positions 29 to 482 of the family's 1533-position model. Lineage: Bacteria; Pseudomonadati; Pseudomonadota; Alphaproteobacteria; Sphingomonadales; Sphingomonadaceae. The record is from RNAcentral.